CAAGGGUAAACAUGUAAUUAUAUAUUUUCAAUAAUUCUAAUUUGGCCCAAAUUAAAUAGUUAGGGGCUUAAUUGAAAAGCUAAAGAAAAAUUUAAGGAUUAAUUGGAAAUUUUAUAUGACGAAAUUGUUAGCAAUUAAAGAAGUUUAGGGACUAAAUGGUAAUGAAGAAAAGUUCAGGGGCUGAAAGUUAAUAUGGAGAGGAAAAGAAAAAAAAAAAGAAGAAAAGAAAGAAAAGAAGAAGAGAAAGGGAUGAUUGAUGAAGAAGGAAGGGAAGCUUUUGCUGCCGGAAAUGGUAGGUAGGGGCGGAGGGCGUGUCGGAGGUUGUAGAGUUGACCGAAGGAGCAAUGGAGGCGAGCGAACGCAAAGGUGGCAGCGGCAGUAGCUCCAGUAAGCUGUUGGCAUCGCUUGUUGGCGUCGAGCUUCGGCCGAGAGGUGCAGUGUCGCCAGCGCAGCGCUGUCUCCGUUCUCUCUACUUGAAGUUGCCGUCAACAUCGAGAAAGAAGGAUGGAGAUGGAGAUGCCUUGGAUGGCUGAUUGGAGGAGCUCGGCUGAAGUGCGUUGCAACUGGCUGUCGAAGUAGCCGAGUUAGCAAGCAUGGCAGUAACUCCGAUAACCAUUUCGAUGGUUCUAGUUUCAAAUGGCCAGUGACUGAUAGAUUUCUUCGAGGAUAGCAACAGAUGUGAAGGUUGUUGAGGAAGGAGAUCCAACAAGAAGAAGCUUGUAAGAGCAGUUCGGUUUUUUGAAAUUUUCCAGCUAGUGUCGUUGAGCUUCAAACGAUCUGAGGAUGCAUUCAGACUCUCCUCGUCACAAGCUUUCCAAUGGCACUAGUUUCGCGGCGAUCGGACUCCGUUUGAAAAUCAACGGCCGAGAUCAUCCGUAAAUCUCUUCGAAUGAUCAGGGAUCGGAUCGGAAGAUCGAAAGCGGCGAUCGUCAUCAGCACGUCGUUUCGAGUCCGUUGGUGCAUUCGGAUCGUCGAUCAGACUCCGGCGACUGGAGGCGAGUCGAUCGAGUGAUCAAGCGUCUCGAUAAUCCUUCAGUUCGGCUCGUUCUACCCGAGGCAUCAAAGCAUAGUUAAGAGGUCAUCAAAGCUGUGAUUGUUAGUCUUUCUGCAGUUCUUAUUUAGCAGCCCGACUUCUUCAUCAUCGGGUUGAUGUAUUUGAUUUUG
Long non-coding RNA from Ricinus communis (castor bean), 1164 nucleotides. RefSeq lists it as uncharacterized. The transcript has 3 exons. The record is from RefSeq and is a predicted model, not a curated record. Lineage: Eukaryota; Viridiplantae; Streptophyta; Magnoliopsida; Malpighiales; Euphorbiaceae.